GUGCUCACUUCGGCAGCACAUAUACUAAAAUUGUAAUGAUACAGAGAAGAUUAGCCUGGCCCCUGCACAAGGAUGACGCAAAUUCAUGAAGCAUUCCAUAUUUUU
RNAcentral lists this small nuclear RNA (105 nucleotides) under Carlito syrichta (Philippine tarsier). The record is from RNAcentral. Lineage: Eukaryota; Metazoa; Chordata; Mammalia; Primates; Tarsiidae.